RNAcentral lists this ribosomal RNA (253 nucleotides) under uncultured bacterium. RNAcentral's name for it is "partial 16S ribosomal RNA". It matches the Rfam family "Bacterial small subunit ribosomal RNA", at positions 524 to 776 of the family's 1533-position model. The record is from RNAcentral.
UACGGAGGGUGCGAGCGUUGUCCGGAAUCACUGGGCGUAAAGGGCGCGUAGGCGGAUACUUAAGUCAGGGGUGAAAUCCCGGGGCUCAACCCCGGAACUGCCUUUGAUACUGGGUAUCUCGAGUCCGGAAGAGGUGAGUGGAAUUCCGAGUGUAGAGGUGAAAUUCGUAGAUAUUCGGAGGAACACCAGUGGCGAAGGCGGCUCACUGGUCCGGUACUGACGCUGAGGUGCGAAAGCGUGGGGAGCAAACAGG